This 486-nucleotide ribosomal RNA is filed under the name uncultured bacterium. RNAcentral describes it as "bacterial SSU rRNA". It matches the Rfam family "Bacterial small subunit ribosomal RNA", at positions 30 to 507 of the family's 1533-position model. The record is from RNAcentral.
AUUGAACGCUGGCGGCAUGCUUUACACAUGCAAGUCGAACGGCAGCACGGGUGCUUGCACCUGGUGGCGAGUGGCGAACGGGUGAGUAAUGCAUCGGAACGUGCCUAUUAGUGGGGGAUAACGCUUCGAAAGGAGUGCUAAUACCGCAUAAUCUCUGAGGAGGAAAGCGGGGGACCUUAGGGCCUCGCGCUGAUAGAGCGGCCGAUGUCGGAUUAGCUAGUUGGUGAGGUAAAGGCUCACCAAGGCGACGAUCCGUAGCGGGUCUGAGAGGAUGAUCCGCCACACUGGGACUGAGACACGGCCCAGACUCCUACGGGAGGCAGCAGUGGGGAAUUUUGGACAAUGGGCGCAAGCCUGAUCCAGCCAUGCCGCGUGAGUGAAGAAGGCCUUCGGGUUGUAAAGCUCUUUUGUCCGGGAGCAAGUCCUACUGGCUAAUAUCUGGUGGGGAUGAGAGUACUGGAAGAAUAAGCACCGGCUAACUACGUG